RNAcentral lists this ribosomal RNA (427 nucleotides) under uncultured delta proteobacterium. RNAcentral describes it as "bacterial SSU rRNA". It matches the Rfam family "Bacterial small subunit ribosomal RNA", at positions 958 to 1385 of the family's 1533-position model. The record is from RNAcentral. Lineage: Bacteria; Deltaproteobacteria.
AACGCGAAGAACCUUACCUGGGUUUGACAUCCUAUGAAUGCUGUAGAGAUACAGAGGACUCGCAAGAGACAUAGAGACAGGUGCUGCAUGGCUGUCGUCAGCUCGUGUUGUGAAAUGUUGGGUUAAGUCCCGCAACGAGCGCAACCCCUGUCUUUGGUUGCCAUCAUUUAAGGUGGGCACUCCAGAGAGACUGCCGUCGUCAAGACGGAGGAAGGUGGGGAUGACGUCAAGUCCUCAUGGCCUUUAUAUCCAGGGCGACACACGUGAUACAAUGGUCGGUACAAAGGGUAGCCAAGUAGCGAUACGGAGCCAAUCCCAAAAAGCCGAUCUCAGUUCGGAUUGGAGUCUGCAACUCGACUCCAUGAAGUUGGAAUCGCUAGUAAUCGCGGAUCAGCACGCCGCGGUGAAUACGUUCCCGGGCCUUGUA